UACGUAGGGCGCAAGCGUUAUCCGGAAUUAUUGGGCGUAAAGAGCUCGUAGGCGGCUUGUUGCGUCAGCUGUGAAAACCCGCAGCUCAACUGUGGGCUUGCAGCUGAUACGGGCAGGCUUGAGUUCGGUAGGGGAGACUGGAAUUCCUGGUGUAGCGGUGAAAUGCGCAGAUAUCAGGAGGAACACCGGUAGCGAAGGCGGGCUCUGGGACGGUACUGACGCUGAGGACGAGAAGCGUGGGGAGCGAACAGG
RNAcentral lists this ribosomal RNA (252 nucleotides) under uncultured bacterium. RNAcentral's name for it is "partial 16S ribosomal RNA". It matches the Rfam family "Bacterial small subunit ribosomal RNA", at positions 524 to 776 of the family's 1533-position model. The record is from RNAcentral.